This 918-nucleotide ribosomal RNA is filed under the name Fuscoporia septiseta. RNAcentral describes it as "Fuscoporia sp. QC-2018b partial 28S ribosomal RNA". It matches the Rfam family "Eukaryotic large subunit ribosomal RNA", at positions 55 to 952 of the family's 3401-position model. Lineage: Eukaryota; Fungi; Basidiomycota; Agaricomycetes; Hymenochaetales; Hymenochaetaceae. The record is from RNAcentral.
GGAAAAGAAACUAACAAGGAUUCCCCUAGUAACUGCGAGUGAAGCGGGAAAAGCUCAAAUUURAAAUCUGGCGGUUUUGCCGUCCGAGUUGUAAUCUGGAGAAGCGUUUUCCGUGCUGGACCGUGUACAAGUCUCUUGGAAUAGAGCGUCAUAGAGGGUGAGAAUCCCGUCCAUGACACGGACUGCCAGUGCUUUGUGAUACGCUCUCGAAGAGUCGAGUUGUUUGGGAAUGCAGCUCAAAAUGGGUGGUAAAUUCCAUCUAAAGCUAAAUAUUGGCGAGAGACCGAUAGCGAACAAGUACCGUGAGGGAAAGAUGAAAAGCACUUUGGAAAGAGAGUUAAACAGUACGUGAAAUUGUUGAAAGGGAAACGCUUGAAGUCAGUCGCGUUGUGUUGGACUCAGCCUGGCUUCGGCCUGGUGUAUUUCCUGCAUGACGGGUCAACAUCGAUUUUGAUCGGCGGACAAGGCGUGGGGGAAUGUGGCACUCCUCGGAGUGUGUUAUAGCCCUCAUGCAUAUACGUCGGUUGGGAUCGAGGCCCGCAGCGCGCCCUUGUGGCCGGGGGUUCGCCCCACGUAUCGCGCUUAGGAUGUUGGCAUAAUGGCUUUAAGCGACCCGUCUUGAAACACGGACCAAGGAGUCUAACAUGCUCGCGAGUGUUAGGGUGGAAAACCCUUGCGCGUAAUGAAAGUAGAAGUUGAGAGCCUCCGCAAGGGGGUGCACCGACGCCCGGCCCUGACGUUCUCUGACGGUGCUGCGGUUGAGCGCGUAUGUUGGGACCCGAAAGAUGGUGAACUAUGCCUGAAUAGGGCGAAGCCAGAGGAAACUCUGGUGGAGGCUCGUAGCGAUUCUGACGUGCAAAUCGAUCGUCAAAUUUGGGUAUAGGGGCGAAAGACUAAUCGAAACCCUUCCAUUGGCCC